Long non-coding RNA from Trichomycterus rosablanca, 220 nucleotides. RefSeq lists it as uncharacterized. Lineage: Eukaryota; Metazoa; Chordata; Actinopteri; Siluriformes; Trichomycteridae. The record is from RefSeq and is a predicted model, not a curated record. The transcript has 3 exons.
UUUCACCCAGUGAAUCGGACCCACCGCGACCCUGAAUUGGAUAAAGCUGUGUUCUCUGGAUUGGUGACCUGUUCUGGGUGUUUCCAGCUUUUCACCCAGUGAAUCGGACCCACCGCGACCCUGAAUUGGAUAAAGCUGUGUUCUCUGGAUUGGUGACCUGUUCUGGGUGUUUCCAGCUUUUCACCCAGUGAAUCGGACCCACAGCGACCCUGAAUUGGAU